RNAcentral lists this ribosomal RNA (490 nucleotides) under uncultured bacterium. Its description in RNAcentral is "partial 16S ribosomal RNA". It matches the Rfam family "Bacterial small subunit ribosomal RNA", at positions 30 to 507 of the family's 1533-position model. The record is from RNAcentral.
AUUGAACGCUGGCGGCAGGCCUAACACAUGCAAGUCGAAUGGUAACAGGAAACAGCUUGCUGUUUCGCUGACGAGUGGCGGACGGGUGAGUAAUGUCUGGGAAACUGCCUGAUGGAGGGGGAUAACUACUGGAAACGGUAGCUAAUACCGCAUAACGUCGCAAGACCAAAGAGGGGGACCUUCGGGCCUCUUGCCAUCAGAUGUGCCCAGAUGGGAUUAGCUAGUAGGUGGGGUAACGGCUCACCUAGGCGACGAUCCCUAGCUGGUCUGAGAGGAUGACACGCCACACUGGAACUGAGACACGGUCCAGACUCCUACGGGAGGCAGCAGUGGGGAAUAUUGCACAAUGGGCGCAAGCCUGAUGCAGCCAUGCCGCGUGUAUGAAGAAGGCCUUCGGGUUGUAAAGUACUUUCAGCGGGGAGGAAGGGAGUAAAGUUAAUACCUUUGCUCAUUGACGUUACCCGCAGAAGAAGCACCGGCUAACUCCGUG